RNAcentral lists this ribosomal RNA (400 nucleotides) under uncultured bacterium. RNAcentral describes it as "bacterial SSU rRNA". It matches the Rfam family "Bacterial small subunit ribosomal RNA", at positions 355 to 753 of the family's 1533-position model. The record is from RNAcentral.
UAGGGAAUAUUGGACAAUGGGUGCGAGCCUGAUCCAGCCAUGCCGCGUGCAGGAAGACGGCCUUCUGGGUUGUAAACUGCUUUUGCCAGGGGAUAAAAAGCCCAUGCGUGGGAAAUUGAAGGUACCUGGUGAAUAAGCCACGGCUAACUACGUGCCAGCAGCCGCGGUAAUACGUAGGUGGCAAGCGUUGUCCGGAUUUAUUGGGUUUAAAGGGUGCGUAGGUGGUCUAUUAAGUCAGUGGUGAAAUACGGCAGCUUAACUGUCGAGGUGCCAUUGAUACUGGUAGACUUGAGUACAGACGAGGUAGGCGGAAUUGACGGUGUAGCGGUGAAAUGCUUAGAUAUCGUCAAGAACACCGAUAGCGAAGGCAGCUUACUAGACUGUAACUGACACUGAGGCA